UUUUUGGAAAUAGUCAUUAUUUAUCACGCUUCGUUUGAUUGGAUAAAAGCGAGUGAUCACGCCGGGCUUCCUGUCCCUCGAGACAUGGAAAGGAACAGCUCGCUACGAAAAUGGCUGCAAAUCGACUGAAGUGGAAAUGGACAGUGUGUAUUCAACAUAGAAGAAGAGCUACAAGCUCUGCUAUGAUCACAGCUAAAAGUGAACUAAGAAGUGGGAGUAGAGCGAGGGGACUUUUUGCUAGGAGAAUAGUGCCGAUAUUCAGAACAAUGAGAAUAGUUUCAAACCAGCUUGAAAAGGGGCCCAAAUAAGUUGCAAUCAGAGCAGCUGUCGCUUAUUGUGUUCGUGGUUGUCAAGGUUAACGUGUUCUCGCAGAGAGUGACGUCACUUGAA
This is a long non-coding RNA of Exaiptasia diaphana, 390 nucleotides long. RefSeq lists it as uncharacterized. NCBI's taxonomy places the organism in Eukaryota, Metazoa, Cnidaria, Anthozoa, Actiniaria, Aiptasiidae. The record is from RefSeq and is a predicted model, not a curated record. The transcript has 4 exons.